RNAcentral lists this unclassified non-coding RNA (314 nucleotides) under plant metagenome. RNAcentral describes it as "partial contains 5.8S ribosomal RNA, internal transcribed spacer 2, and large subunit ribosomal RNA". The stretch from base 1 to 105 matches the Rfam family "5.8S ribosomal RNA", at positions 50 to 154 of the family's 154-position model. The record is from RNAcentral.
GAAACGCGAUAGUUAAUGUGAAUUGCAGAAUUCAGUGAAUCAUCGAGUCUUUGAACGCACAUUGCGCCCAUAGGUAUUCCUUUGGGCAUGUCUGUUUGAGCGUCAUUACAACCCUCAGCUAACCGCUGGUUUUGAACCUGAACGGGUGACACCGCGCCGGUUUUAAAGUUGUAAGCUCUGCUGGCCGCUCUGCCCAACCAGAACAUAGUAAGCACUACUUGUCCAGGUGAAGCUGAACGGUACGGCCUGAACAAAACCUACCCACUCUCAAGGUUUGACCUCAGAUCAGACAAGGAUACCCGCUGAACUUAAGC